RNAcentral lists this unclassified non-coding RNA (125 nucleotides) under soil metagenome. RNAcentral describes it as "partial internal transcribed spacer 1". The record is from RNAcentral.
AUGAUUGGCCUCAGGGCCUUAUCGAUUAUUAAUCCCAACACCUCUGUGAACCGUUUUCGGCCCUCGGGCUGAUCUUUUACAAUACAAACAUUGUGUAAUGAGCCGUCUUGUUAUCUUAACAAAAC